This 481-nucleotide ribosomal RNA is filed under the name Streptococcus parasanguinis. RNAcentral describes it as "bacterial SSU rRNA". It matches the Rfam family "Bacterial small subunit ribosomal RNA", at positions 28 to 492 of the family's 1533-position model. The record is from RNAcentral. Lineage: Bacteria; Bacillati; Bacillota; Bacilli; Lactobacillales; Streptococcaceae.
GAUGAACGCUGGCGGCGUGCCUAAUACAUGCAAGUAGAACGCUGAAGCUUGGUGCUUGCACCGGGCGGAUGAGUUGCGAACGGGUGAGUAACGCGUAGGUAACCUGCCUCUUAGCGGGGGAUAACUAUUGGAAACGAUAGCUAAUACCGCAUAAAAGACGAUAUCGCAUGAUAUUGAUUUGAAAGGUGCAAAUGCAUCACUAAGAGAUGGACCUGCGUUGUAUUAGCUAGUUGGUGAGGUAACGGCUCACCAAGGCAACGAUACAUAGCCGACCUGAGAGGGUGAUCGGCCACACUGGGACUGAGACACGGCCCAGACUCCUACGGGAGGCAGCAGUAGGGAAUCUUCGGCAAUGGGGGCAACCCUGACCGAGCAACGCCGCGUGAGUGAAGAAGGUUUUCGGAUCGUAAAGCUCUGUUGUAAGAGAAGAACGAGUGUGAGAGUGGAAAGUUCACACUGUGACGGUAACUACCAAAAGGAC